Long non-coding RNA from Mustela lutreola (European mink), 2106 nucleotides. RefSeq lists it as uncharacterized. Lineage: Eukaryota; Metazoa; Chordata; Mammalia; Carnivora; Mustelidae. The record is from RefSeq and is a predicted model, not a curated record. The transcript is spliced from 4 exons.
GACUGCUUGUUUGGUGAUGUGAUCGCCCUGACUUGUGUGUCUGGGUGGGAGAAUGAUACUGGGAUUUGGAAGUGUUCUUGGUGCUUCGGUGUGCAAGCAGGGCUCAGAGGUCCUCAAGUAUGCAACUGUUAGAUUGCUUCCCUUUGAUUUUGUCACAGUUAUUGAGAGCCUAGCACUUUCAUAGCAAUGACUACAUUUCUGACUAUAUACUUAAUGUAUUUAAUUACAGUGAUUUUCUAAAUCAAUUUCCUAAGAAAAUCAAUUUAAUUAAAUAAAUUAAAUGUGUAUUUAGACAGUCAGUCAUUGCUAUUAAAAGAGGUAUUGUAAUUUAGCAUCUUAUUCCAUUUUUAAUGGUCCCUUGGCUUUGGAAUUUUUCCAAAACGGGACUUUUAUAGUUAAAUUUAAAAACCUGACAGUUCUUUUUUUUUUUUUUUUUUUUUUUGCUGGGGAUAAUUAUAUAAAAAUAUACAUAUAAGGCUAAAUAUCUUAAGAAAUCUUAUAUUUAUUAAUGUUGUGUAUGUCAGGUUUCCUACUUUAAACCAGAUAUUUGUUGAAAUGAUGCAUUUUGUUUAAUUUGGGGAAUAAACAUUCACAUAUGAAACUGCUUUGGUUUUGAAAGCUGCGUCAUGUUAAGUAAUAUAUUUUUCUUGAAAAAGAAAAUCGAGAGUAGCAAAAGUUCAAAAUCUAUUAGGGACUGAAUAGUGUUAAUUCUGUAUUACCUAAAGGUGGGUAAAGAGCUCGUAUUCACUUUUGUAAUUCAUGCCUGUAAUUAUGUUUCUUCCAAAGUUUUAUAUGAAGUUUAUCAAAAUGUAAUUUUUUUCAGAAAAAUAUCAGUUUCAGUGUUAGGUAGCCAAAAGGACAGAUGAAUGAAAAUGAACAAUUGUAUACAUGAUAUAAAAAUAUGUGCAAAUAUGCAAGAUUCAUGCCAUUUUUCAUGAGAAGUCUAUCUUGUGUGUCUCUCGUAUGGUCACUGAACUUUUGUGUAUCCUGAUGUUAUAAAUGAUGCAGCCUUGAUUUCUAGGAAAUGUUUAAUUAGCAGACGAUUUAUACUCAUUGGUAUUUGGCCAUCAUCACUGUAUAUAAUGACAAUUUGGAGAUAGAAUUGUAGUGUUUCAUUUGAGAAAGAAUUUUAUUUGUGAAAAGUUCAAAACCAGAAUGAUAUGAUGUUCAAACAGCUUUCGCAGAGAGUCGGGGGAGGCAGAGUAAACACUUUGUUUUGCCAUAUUCCCUAAAAUUUAUGCAUUGUUUGCUCUUUAAAUGGACAUUUUACAUUUGAAAGGACUUGUUUUUUCCUUUGAAGAGAACAGGUUGAAUUUUAAGGCUUCACGUUUUUGUCCCCUCAUUUUCCUUCCCUGUCCCAACAACCUAUUGGUCAUACGUUACUCCCCCCAUCUUUCUUCCUAUUCAUUCUUUUUUUAAAUUAAAAAAAAUAUUUCUGCUUUUUAAAAUGAGAGAUAGAGAUCUAUAUUCCACUAUGAUUACAUAGAGUAACAUUUCUUUCUUUGGAUUGUUUUUGGAAAACUUAAAAAAAAAAAACAAAACUAAUUCCACACAAAAAAGUUAUAUGAUAAAUCGUAAACUAUCACAGAAAUUUAUUUUGAAAAGAACUAAACAUUUCUACUUGAAACAUCCACGGGACAGCUAACAUAAGGAUUGCAGUCAAUUCAAAGGUAAGCUCUUUCAUUUAUAUUCAAAUUAAGUCAAUAUUUGUUUUUAAUAAGAAGAACUGAUCAUUUCACCAACCUUUAUCAUUAGCAGGAAUAUACAUUUUAUUCAAUACCAGAAGGUGUUUGCAGAUCCAUUCCUAAUUUUGCAAAAACCCUUAUGAAACAGGUAAUGGAGAAAUAUGUGGAGGGGGAAGGGAAAAAAAAACCCCAGAUGAUAAAAUCCUGUAUUUUACAGAUUGACUGAAAUAAUUUUAUUUUACCCCUUGGGACAUACCUACAAUGAGCACAUACUGGACGUUAAAGAACUGGCAAUCUUCCAUGUAUAUUUGUAGAGUCCCCAGAUGCAACUGUCAUUGAUAAUUAUGCCACCUCGUUAUAAUUUCAGUGGAUUUUUACAGAACUUCUGCGCAUAAUCUCAACAGAUUAUUUUCUUCCAGCA